UGGUAAGUAGUUUAAACAAAACAAAAUGAUUUCGACUCAUUAAAUUAUGACAUUCAUACUAACCAA
RNAcentral lists this transfer RNA (66 nucleotides) under Cercopithecus albogularis (Sykes' monkey). RNAcentral describes it as "tRNA-Arg". Lineage: Eukaryota; Metazoa; Chordata; Mammalia; Primates; Cercopithecidae. The record is from RNAcentral.